This 42-nucleotide transfer RNA is filed under the name Denitrobacterium detoxificans. RNAcentral describes it as "tRNA_Glu_CTC". Lineage: Bacteria; Bacillati; Actinomycetota; Coriobacteriia; Eggerthellales; Eggerthellaceae. The record is from RNAcentral.
CUCUCAAGGCGGAGAUCACGAGUUCGAAUCUCGUACGGGCUA